GACGAACGCUGGCGGCGUGCCUAAUACAUGCAAGUCGAACGCACUCUCGUUUAGAUUGAAGGAGCUUGCUCCUGAUUGAUAAACAUUUGAGUGAGUGGCGGACGGGUGAGUAACACGUGGGUAACCUGCCCUAAAGUGGGGGAUAACAUUUGGAAACAGAUGCUAAUACCGCAUAAAACCUAACACCGCAUGGUGUAGGGUUGAAAGAUGGUUUCGGCUAUCACUUUAGGAUGGACCCGCGGUGCAUUAGUUAGUUGGUGAGGUAAAGGCUCACCAAGACCGUGAUGCAUAGCCGACCUGAGAGGGUAAUCGGCCACACUGGGACUGAGACACGGCCCAGACUCCUACGGGAGGCAGCAGUAGGGAAUCUUCCACAAUGGACGAAAGUCUGAUGGAGCAACGCCGCGUGAGUGAAGAAGGUUUUCGGAUCGUAAAACUCUGUUGUUGGAGAAGAAUGUAUCUGAUAGUAACUGAUCAGGUAGUGACGGCAUCCAACC
Molecule: ribosomal RNA, 497 nt
Filed under: uncultured bacterium
Lineage: Bacteria
Description: bacterial SSU rRNA
Rfam family: Bacterial small subunit ribosomal RNA
Source: RNAcentral